ACUCAGGUGGCUCAAUGGACAGAGCGAUGCCCUCCGAAGGCAUAGACUGUGGGUUCGAUUCCCACCCUGAGUACCU
This 76-nucleotide transfer RNA is filed under the name Micromonosporaceae bacterium. RNAcentral describes it as "tRNA-Arg". It matches the Rfam family "tRNA". From Rfam's summary of the family: Transfer RNA (tRNA) molecules are approximately 80 nucleotides in length. Lineage: Bacteria; Bacillati; Actinomycetota; Actinomycetes; Micromonosporales; Micromonosporaceae. The record is from RNAcentral.